Molecule: ribosomal RNA, 468 nt
Filed under: uncultured bacterium
Lineage: Bacteria
Description: partial 16S ribosomal RNA
Rfam family: Bacterial small subunit ribosomal RNA
Source: RNAcentral
GACGAACGCUGGCGGCGUGCUUAACACAUGCAAGUCGAACGGAAAGGCCCUGCUUUUGUGGGGUGCUCGAGUGGCGAACGGGUGAGUAACACGUGAGUAACCUGCCCUUGACUUUGGGAUAACUUCAGGAAACUGGGGCUAAUACCGGAUAGGAGCUCCUGCUGCAUGGUGGGGGUUGGAAAGUUUCGGCGGUUGGGGAUGGACUCGCGGCUUAUCAGCUUGUUGGUGGGGUAGUGGCUUACCAAGGCUUUGACGGGUAGCCGGCCUGAGAGGGUGACCGGCCACAUUGGGACUGAGAUAGGGACCAGACUCCUACGGGAGGCAGCAGUGGGGAAUAUUGCACAAUGGGCGGAAGCCUGAUGCAGCAACGCCGCGUGCGGGAUGACGGCCUUCGGGUUGUAAACCGCUUUCGCCUGUGACGAAGCGUGAGUGACGGUAAUGGGUAAAGAAGCACCGGCUAACUACGUG